ACCCAAGAUCCAUUUAAAAAGCUAUAAGAACUAAUAAAAAAGAAGCUAGAUAAUGACUUGAGAGGGACUUGCCAUAGGAAGUUGAGCAAAGCUCAAGAAGAUGAGAGAUGGGGAGAAGAACGAGGCGGAAGUGUAACGUUUGUGUAUACUAUUAGAGAUUUUUUAAUGUGAAAGAGAUAUUAUUAUUUUUUAUAAAUGAAAAAAAAUUAUAAUACUUAAAGAUAAUUGGUUGAGGGAGAUGAAGCUUUGGGAGGAGACAAGAAUGGUGUACCUAAAAACACAUUCCGGAUCUCGGACAUGUUACAACAUAUAUAUCCAUGCUUUUUAUUAUUAACCUUGCUUUAUACUAUUCUUCUUCUUUGUUUAGUUAUUUUGCUUUAAGGGUACAAAAAACUUUAGCUUAUAAUUUCCUCCGUUGGGACUGGGAGUAUUAUUACAAGUAAUUUAUAUGGAGUAUAUAUAUCGAAGUUGGUUAAAUAUUUAAUAUCCGAGUUGAAGUCUUAAGUUUUGUACAACAUGGUCCCAAAUCUCAUCAUUUAAGUAUGGUCGUAGUUUCUCUGUUAGAACGUAAGAUGUUCAACAAUGUAGGCUAUUUGAAGUAUUGGGACAUUUUUCCCAAUUUGUAUGCGAAUUAUUAAUUGGGUUUUUAUUUUGUUUUUUACUUAAUUUUCUUCACUUGUGAUCUAUCUAUAUGCAUGCUAGCUGUAACGGUGUUGAAAAAAGGAAAAAGUAACUGUAACCUGUGAAUUUAUUAGAUAGUUUUGGUAACAUUCUUAGGAAGUUAUUUAUGAUUUAUAAAAUAAAGUAACAUUGUCUAUGUGAUGUAUACUUAGAGUGUUGUAAUUCUUUUUUUUUUUUUUGGUAAAAGAGUGUUGUAAGUCUGAACGUAAAUUUGUAACGGAGCUUCACUAGAAUUUGCAGAAGGAAACAAAGGGUAUACUUUGAGUGAGAUUUACUGAUUUACAAUACAUAUGUAUAAUGUGUAUCUAAUACACUUUAAGAGAGAUUUUUUGCCAUCUGUGAGAUUUUUUAAUCUAUGAAAACAAAUAAUAGAAUUGUCCUAUUCAAUGGGCCACUUUAUUCUUGAUACAAUGUAUUGAGUGAUUUUAAACAUCAACUGUGACUGACUACUACGUGUUCGGACAUUUAUGUGUAAUUAAGCAAAAAAGUAUAACCUUGUUUGAUUAAUGUGGCUAGUACGAUAACGUUACAAAUUAUCGAAGUUUACGUAUAGCUAAAAUAAUUUAUUUACUACUUUAGCAAUAUAAUAUUACGAGACGUUGUGUCCAAGCUUUGCAUAAGCAAUUUGAACAGCAUACUUCUUUAACUUAUAUCUCGUUAACACGAAUACAAGUGCUAUCUACGUAUACUUUUAUUUUUGAUCAAUGCUAUUGUAAUCGUAUGUUUGCUGAAGUAAUGAUUAUUUACAUCAUCGAUGCAUGCGCACCACUCGUGACUUUAUUGUGAGGAGUUAGUUUCCUUUUAGGACAUUCAAGCAAAGCGUUAACUAACAGUCUAACAUCGUUAAGCUUAACGAUAAAAGGUGCAAUCCCAGCUUUAUUGUGACAUCGUUAAGCUUUAACUAAAAUCUCUAAUCGAGUUUAUGUUAACCAUAAAAUUCUGCGACAUCGUUAUUUGCAUUAGUCCAUUUUCAUACUCCUAUUUAAUUUGUAAGAUUAACGAUAAAAGGUGCAAUCCCAGCUUUCUAAUACUUACGUUGCAGAUUUCACAAAUAUUAAACAAAUAUUUAAUUUUAAUUAGAAAUAUAAUAUUUUCAGGAUUAGCUAUUUCCCAAAAUUUUAAUCGAAUCAAAAUUUAAUAGACACAAUUAAAUUUCUUUAAAAUUUAUAAUUUAUCAUUAUUAUUUAAUUAAAUUAAAUUACAUUUGAAAUGUAAACAAGUAUAUCAGGGUUUAAUAAUUUUACGGUUCCGUAUCAAAUUACGGUUACAUUAAUUUUUUGCGGGCUACCUUUUUGUACGUUUCUUAGCCUCCUCCGCUUGGGUUUCGACCUAUAUCCUCUGCUUCCAAAACCAAGAUAAUAAACAAAACAAAAGAUGAUAAAGCCAAUUCUUUAUGCAACCAAGGCAUUUUGGGAGAAUGGAUGCAGACUUUUAAAAUCAUAAAAUACCCUAAUAGCUACACUUCUUGAUAGUCUACAAAGGCAACAGAUGUUUCAAAUAACGACACGAAAUUGAGCAAAAAAAAAGAAGGAAAAUAGUUUAAAAUACAAUUUCACACACACACACACACACAUAUAUAUAUAUAGAUAUUUGUGCGAAUUUUACAUUGAUCAAGUAUGUUCUUAUGGAUGUGCUUCUUUUUUUUGUUCACAGGAUGUGCUUCUUUCAAAUCGAUCUUCAAACUGCAAUUAAUAUUCAGUCUUUACUGUUAUAUAAAUUAAUUCUAUAAACACUAACUAAACCUCUUAAAGUUAUCUCAAUUCUCAACUAAAGUAUAUGCGCUGACGAUAUGGAUGUGUUACGUUUUCAGUGACAACAAUACAGUAUUUUAUUGGGUAACUAGAUUUUGAUCCGCACUUUAAAGGGCGGGUAUAAUUUUUAUUUUAUUUUUUGAAAAUUUUAAUUUUUAUAUUUAUAUUAUUUUUUUUAAAAAAAUUGAUUUUUAUAUUUAUUUUAUUUUUUGUAAUCAUAUUUACGUUUAAUAUUUAUUUAAUUUAAUAUAGUUUUGGUAACUAUAUUAAAUAUGUCAAGUUGUAUAACUUUUCACUUAUGCCAUAUGUAUUUCAGAAAUUAUUUUUAAAAUUUAUUCCUAAAGUUUGUAACAUAUUAUAUUUUUGUAAUAGUUACCUAACACAAUUAGCCAAGAAUAUUCGUAUCCAGAAAAACCCAAUUCGAAAUCGACCCGAGAAUCAAAGUCGAUUACUCUAUUAGGUCUGGCCUAUAUACUCUAACGGUUCUUAGAGUGUUAUAUCCGAAACCAAGAUCAAAUUUAACCCGCAUCGAAAACCAAACAAGUUUUUUGAAAAAAUAUUGAAUUUUUUUUUUAAUAUAUUAUGUUAUAUAUUUGUAAAUUGGGUUAAUAUGAUCUUCACUAACUUUAAGUAAAAUCACAUUGAAUAAUUUUUUUUAAUCAAAUAACCUAUUUAAAACCCAUUAAACUAAAAUCCAUAGAAUAUAUUAAAAUAAAUAAUACUUCCAUAAUAAUAUCAGAUACACAUUAAAACUAUAUUCAGAAUUUAAAUUAGAUAUUAGCCAUAUAAUUAGGUAUCAAAUAGAAGCUGGUUAACAUUAUAUAUUUAAAUGCUAUAUCUUCUAGGGAAUUUAGAUGCAAUUUUAAAAUAUGUUGAUUGAAGUAAUAAUCAACUAACGAUUUUGAUGCUAUCAUGCACUUUUCUCAUCUUUAUUUAAUUUCAGUUUUUGUUUGAUUAAAUAAGAUUUAUAGAUGUAAACAGAAAAAGUGGAUCCCGAUUAUUAUGUUCAAGUGGUGAUUACAUCCACAAUAUAUAAUUAGAUGCAGUUAGUACUUUUUUAAGUAUAGAUUGUUGAAAAUAAUUAGUUGGACUAAACAUAUAUCAAUAGGUCAUGUUCCUAAUUUAAUAGUAUCGAUUAAUUAAAAUCGGAGAGAUAAUAAUAAGCAGGAGGAGCGUGAUGUUGUCAGUAGUAUUUAUAUUUGUGGAAUAAAUGUUAAAAGAAAAACCCUAACUAAGGAAAACAAAACGUUUAACCGUAUAUACAUAUAUAAAUAUGCAUGCGAAUAUUAUGAAUUUUUAGCGCUAAAAUACUCCACAAACAACAACGAUUAAAACAUUAGCGCUAAAACCAUAUAUAAAUUUUAGCAAAAAAAAUAAAAUAAAACCAUAUAUAAAUUGAAUAAGUUUUUUUUUCUUAACUGUAUUUCGACAAGAAAAGUUUUCAUCCGAGAAACAGAAGUUGGUUUAGAGUUUUGACGUCUCAAUUAUUGAUUUCAGAAUGAUAAUAUAUUUUAUUUCCCCAAAAAAGCAAUUGACAAAUUAAUAAUUAGCCAAAAAAGAAACAAAACAUUGGGAACAAGGAAAAAAUAGUGGUUAAAAAGGUAAAUUUGGGUAAGAUGUGGUGAAUAAAUGAAGUCGAGCAUUGAUUAUCGUGUAGGAGAAGAGGGACCCAUUGAGAGUGUCGACGUGAUAGGUGAGACAUAUGAUAGGCUCUCUAGUCUUCUUAGGGGUUAGACUUUUAGAUUAGUAGACAGCUAAGUGGUUUUGUCGUCAAAUCUGUUUUAAAGACUUUGGUUUUUGGUUUUGUUUAUAGUCAAAGCCUAAAAGGCAAAAGCUCAUGCGCUACUCUACUAGUACUAUGCAUGUGCAUUUUACGCCUAGAGAUUAUACUCGUAUCUCUUGUUAUUCUUUGAUUUCAAAUAAUUUCAUAUACAUAUGUGGCUAAAAACAUUUGAGAUUUUAGAUCUGAUGCGAGAUUAGAUUUAAUCAGCUAUAGGAUAUCCAUAUUUGUUUUUCAUAUACCAUUAUCUACAAAUGCUUUACUCUGUAUGUAAUUUGCAUCUGUUGUACUAAAGAUAUGAAUAUGUCGUAAUAACUAAAAAAGUCUGGUCUAAUGGUAUAUGCAUUUGUAGUAUACGAGUAAUUAUUUGGGUGGUAAGGUGAAUCAAUAUGGUUUGUGUUUGUUGUUAGGAAGCAUAGUCGUAUAAACAUGCAUGGGUCCAAAUCGUAUCUUCAAACAAGUUUUUUUCGCUAAAGAAACAAAUUUUAUUAACGAGAGACCAAAAUGAACGUAUGCUUUACAUUAAAAUGGAAGGUUCGUAGAGAUAAGGCGGAGGGAGACAUGGGCACAAAUAAGACAUCAAAGCAUGGGCUCCAUUCUAUAAUAUUUUCAUAUGCCCCUUCUCUUUAUUGUUAUUCUUAAUAAUUAUUCCAUAUAAAUCGUAUAAUUAUGGGUCUCCAUUUCAAUUUCAUCCAUUGUGUCCAGAUUACACUCAUUCAACGUACAUGUCGCUCUUUCCCGUUCUCUCUUCUUUUUCUAUGUUUCCAUACUCGUGGUGAUUUUUGUUCAUGCAUAUACUAGAAAAGUAUCCUUUAUCCGCGACAAAAGAACAAGAUAAAUAUACUAAGAUAUUACGAAAGAUCUAUAGUAACAUUAUAUUGUCAAUUGUGCAUUAUGGUUCUGGCUAGACUUUUCAUUUUGCAAACUAUAAAGUAAGAGUGGACCACUAAAGACCAUUUAAAUCAAGUACCAAUACAUAUUCUAAUAAAUUAAGUUUAAUUUUAAAGGGCUUUUAAGCAUUCUUCUCGAUAUAAAAUAAACAACAGGUUGUAAGAAAAGUAAGCGCCAAAGCAUUAAUGGGCUCAAUUGAUCAAAGUAAAUAACUAAAUAGAGGCCCAUUUGCAAAAUGGGUCCAAAAUGAUUUACUACUAUUUCUGAAUAUAAUUUUUUGACGCUGAAACAAAAUUUUAUAAACGAAACUGCAAUCGAUCCGUAAAUAUUCCUUUUUUUUUCCAACAACAAUUUUAUUUAUAUAAAAUGUAAGAUUACACAUAAGUAAUAAACAUACAACCAAAUGUAAAUCUAAAAUAAAAGAUAAAAUCACAAUAAGUUUUCUUCUGAAUCUUCUUAGUGCAAUCUUCAUGGUUGGAUCCGUAAAUAUCCCUUAUGUAAUCUAUAACAAUAAUACGUAGAUCUCGACAAAAAAAAACAAUAAUACGUAGAUAUAAAAAAUAGUUUUCCUUGGUAUCUUACUCUAAUUUUAGUUUGUAAAUUUAAAAUUAACAAAGAAGUUCAUCUCUGUAAUUAAUUUAUUUAACCUCACACGCAAAAAAAAAACCUGCUAUAUAAAUGAACCAAAAACAUGGAUCCAGAAUUUGAAGACCAGGUCUGUUUGUGGAUAUAAUUUAACAAAUGAUUCAACCUGUCCACCAUAAAUUAAAAUAACAAUUGACAAAAUUUAAAAAUUUAAUAAACGAGAGUGGAAGAAAAUUAAUGGCUGUCAUAUUCAAUACAUUCCAAUUCUAACUAUUGGGUAUUUUUAAUUUGUUUUGUUAUAAACUAAAUAUAUAUAAAGGGUAAAACCAGGCACAAAGCCCUCUCUUUGGUCUCAUUCUUAUUGCUUUUCUCAUGAAAAGCCAAAGCCAAUAAACAGUGUAAAGAAAAAAUAUUAGGAAGACAAUUCAAAAGGGAUCUUGCAGAACUCGUGAGAGGCAUGUAUCAGUAAAAGAGGCACCUUCCUAAAUUAUUAGUUUUCUUGGAGUUUUCUUUGUUAUACAAAUUUUCUUCUGGAUGACUUUUGUGACUAUAAUCAGAAGCAUGAUAUAUGAAAGGAAAUUCAAAAUUCGCAUACUUUGAUAUGUGAUAAUCAAAGCUUCUUCUAAAAUUUUGGAGUAAGAUUCAUAACAACUUGGACGUAGACUUUUUAUUAACAUAAACGGUUGAUCCGGUCGUUCCGGAAAAGAAUACAUUUAAUGCUAUAGAGUGGAUUAGCUGAAAGUAUACCAUACUACUACUUGACUCGAGUUUGGAAUACCUUUCGACUAAUGUCAAGGGUGGACUGAUCAUCUGUUACGGUCCACCAUAUAAAUCACUUGGGCCGAAACUCAAGUCCACAUUGGCCAAGUAACAAUAAACAUUUUGCAAUCCAACUUAUUACAAGUUUAAUCUUAUAGACUUCUGUCCUUGCAAGUUUGAGGAAGCAUUAUAUAUUCUCUAUUUGAUUUACGUAUUAUUAAUAACCAGUGCAUACAAUAAAUAUGUAUAGAUGACCCUGAAUCAAUGGUAAAUUAUUUGAAUCAUGAAUCUAGAAAAAAGAUACUAAAAUUAAUAAAAAAAAAUGGAAGAUCAUGGAUUGCUCCUAUUCUACUAUGCAUGGUUUUUAUUCCAUUAGGAUUGAACAAAAAAAAAUUCCAUUAGUUUUUUUUUCUUUGCAAAUCAAAUCACAAUUUUGUUACCCUUUAGACAAAGGAGACGGACUUCGCCAACUUUACAUAUCUCCAGUGGCUUUUUGUCAAUUUUUGCGAAAGAAUAUCUAACUAAUAAACAACAUUUUAACAAAACAAGAAUCUUUGAUUACAGAGUUUAUUUUCAACGGAGUGGAAUAGCUAUGACCUUUUUACAUGUAUAGAAUACGUAGGUGUACUUCUUACAGAAAAUACACCAUUCCUUUAUUCAUUAAUAAUAAAUGUGAAUGAAUCUAAUAACUAAUAGGAAUAGUUUUUUUUGUAUACCAGACGCGAUGACGCCAAAGGAUGGAUCCAAUCCAUGGGUAAUGGAUAUGCAGAAUAAAGAGAGAAUGACAUAAGGAUUCAGAUGUGACAUGACAUAUUGGCCUCGAUUACUUGGACUAUGACAUUUCAGACCUACCGAUUUUUGCAGUUCUUAAAUAGUCGGAUAACAUUUUUGUCAUUAAAAUACUUACAAUGUUAAAAGAGAUCAUUACAAUUUUGUUUUAUAAAUAACCCUGUCCAUUUUUGUUUACUUUACAGUAUCCUACCUGUUUUUUGUUGCAUUAAUAUAGUUAGAUUUGUGUAAUUCUAUAUAGUGAUGAAUUUUCACGAUUAGCCGUUAGAAACAAGGUUCUAAAACGCAGCCGAGUUAUCCGAUUAAGCGGUGCCGGAGCACUUGGCUGAGGUCCACCGUGGCGAUUUCAUCAUAGGCAGCCCAGAAAUCGGAUUCAUCAAAAAGUUCAUCCUUUAGAAGUUUCAAAUGUUUUAAAUUUCAUGUUGGAUGACAGAUCCAUGAAUUUUAUGCAUAAACAACAAAAAAAGCUUAUAAAAUUUGUUGAUUUUGAUAAAAAUAUACAUUGAAGGCGAAAAACAAGUUGCAGAAACCCUUAGCAAAACGCGUAGAAGAAGAUGAUAAAAUUAUAAUUAUGCCAUUUAUUUAAGAAGCAUACAAAAAUAAUAAAAAACGUCAUUUGGAUUUCGAACUUGACAUGGAAUGAGAAAAUUCAAGCUUAUUUACCACCAGACAACAUUAAAAACUAAAAAACAACAUUAAAAACUAAAAAAAAUAAUUAAAAUUACUCUUCGUUAAAUUCCCAUUUAUUCUCCGAGUUAUUGAUAAAUUGCUAGGCGUAAACCGAUCUACCAAGCUUGCAGGUUUUGGGAUUAGUGUUGUGCCAAAAAGCUAAGUAAAAAAAUGUUGCUAGUGGCUUAAAGCUAUAAUAUAAUUAAAAUCUUGAUUAGACAGGAAAAAGAAAGAAAGAGUUAAAUUAAUAGUAUCAGUCCUUUCGGGAACAUCUGAUUAAAAUCAAUAGUACUGUUUUGUGAUAAGUAAUUAAAUACAUAUGAAAAAGGCCUCCAAUGGAGUUUAUUUUAUUUUAUUUUCAAGCAUGCGAAUCGUAAUAAAACUCAGAAAAAAAGAAAAAAUAAAAGUAGAAGACAUGCUCUGUUAAGUGGUCGCUGUCUUCACUCUCUAAUCUUCUCUGUGUAUUUGGCAGUUGAAUUUCUCUGCAUGCAAAAUCUAAUUUUAGAUUUCGUGUUGGAUUCUCAAUACCUUCACAAACCCCCAAUCUACCCCUGGCAUCAAACGUCAACGUUGAUAUCUCUCUUACAUUUCCCUUAUUUAUUUAUAUAUUUAAAUAUAAUGUACGAUAGAGUGUUCCUUGCCUAUUAUUACUUUCUACUCUGCUAUAGAGUGUUCCUUGCCAUUGUUAUCUUAUCCUUCUCUGUGUGGUAAUUUCCAUCCAACUAUUGAUUUCCUUACGAUAGUUGAGCCCAUCCUCUACUCUGCUAUAGAGUGUUCCUUGCCUAUUAUUACUUUCUACUCUGCUAUAGAGUGUCCGUUGCCUAUUACUUCCUGGUUUCAGAUCUGUUUAACUUCCUCUAGAAUGGAAUACUCAAUGUUAAAUUGCAGAUUUAUAGCUUGGUUGUGGUUUCAGAUCUUGUUUAUCAACACUCUUUUGAAACCAACUUCAACCUUCCUAUUACCAUGGUUUUUGUAUCGUUGCUGCUCAUGUGUUGCAAGGUCAACCUUUGGUUUGGAAGAUUGCUCUACAGAUGAUUUGUUCUCUGUACUGUUCAAAGGCUCAGCAUUUUGGUGUUACACCGCCUCUGCUAUUGUAGCCAGCGUUAAGAUUGUUAUUCCUGCACUAAUUGCAGAACCAAUCACAAGCAUUAGAUCACUGAUUGUGUUCUUUGUUUCCCACGGCUUCAUUCCACUGCUUAAGCCUAGUGUUGGCGAGAUACGAGGACGUCUCUGCAAUGUUAGUUGUUUAUGUAUAAUGAUUGCUUCUAUCUUUGUGUUUUUGCUUGCCUUUUGUUGCAGCAAAAUUGUUAGCCAGUAUGGCUUUGUUAUCAUCUUUGUAAACAAUUUCUCCUCUAAUGGAGACUAGUUAUCUAUAAAAUCUUGUUUGACCAAAAAAAAAAAAAAAAAAAA
Molecule: long non-coding RNA, 9315 nt
Organism: Brassica rapa (field mustard)
Lineage: Eukaryota; Viridiplantae; Streptophyta; Magnoliopsida; Brassicales; Brassicaceae
Source: RefSeq, a predicted model, not a curated record